RNAcentral lists this ribosomal RNA (382 nucleotides) under uncultured bacterium. Its description in RNAcentral is "bacterial SSU rRNA". It matches the Rfam family "Bacterial small subunit ribosomal RNA", at positions 355 to 753 of the family's 1533-position model. The record is from RNAcentral.
UGAGGAAUAUUGCUCAAUGGGCGAAAGCCUGAAGCAGCAACGCCGCGUGCGCGAUGAAGGUCUUCGGAUCGUAAAGCGCUUUUGAGAGGGACGAGAUAGGACGGUACCUCUUGAAUAAGUCACGGCUAACUACGUGCCAGCAGCCGCGGUAAAGCGUAGGUGGCAAGCGUUAUCCGGAUUCACUGGGCGUAAAGAGCGUGCAGGUGGCUUCGUAAGUUGGACGUUAAAUCUUUCGGCCUAACCGGGAGGUGUCGUUCAAUACUGCGGGGCUUGAGGGUAGAAGAGGGGGGUGGAAUUGCCGGUGCAGUGGUGAAAUGCGUAGUUAUCGGCAGGAACACAUGUGGCGAAAGCGGCCCCCUGGUCUGCUCCUGACACUCAGACG